This 515-nucleotide ribosomal RNA is filed under the name uncultured bacterium. Its description in RNAcentral is "bacterial SSU rRNA". It matches the Rfam family "Bacterial small subunit ribosomal RNA", at positions 15 to 518 of the family's 1533-position model. The record is from RNAcentral.
GAUUAUGGCUCAGGAUGAACGCUGGCGGCGUGCCUAACACAUGCAAGUCGAACGGAGUUGUUCUACCCGACGAUUUCUCUUCGGAGAAUGAGUCAUUGAAACGCUUAGUGGCGGACGGGUGAGUAACGCGUGGGCAACCUGCCCUGCACAGGGGGAUAGCGGUUGGAAACGACCGGUAAUACCGCAUACCUUACAUUUGCCGCAUGACAGAUGUAAGAAAACGAUUUAGUGGUGCAGGAUGGGCCCGCGUCCGAUUAGUUAGUUGGUGGGGUAACGGCCUACCAAGACGACGAUCGGUAGCCGACCUGAGAGGGCGGACGGCCACAUUGGGACUGAGACACGGCCCAGACUCCUACGGGAGGCAGCAGUGGGGAAUAUUGCACAAUGGGGGAAACCCUGAUGCAAGCGACGCCGCGUGAGUGAAGAAGUAUUUCGGUAUGUAAAGCUCUAUCAGCAGGGAAGAUAAUGACGGUACCUGACUAAGAAGCCCCGGCUAAAUACGUGCCAGCCGCCGC